Molecule: long non-coding RNA, 914 nt
Organism: Capsicum annuum
Lineage: Eukaryota; Viridiplantae; Streptophyta; Magnoliopsida; Solanales; Solanaceae
Exons: 2
Source: RefSeq, a predicted model, not a curated record
AUGCCGCAGUGGGCUUGAAUCUCCUUAAAGAAAGCGAGAUAUUUGCGCCUCAGUCAAAAAGAAGAUUAUUUUAUUUUCUUCACUUUUGUUCAUUUUAUUUUCAACUGUAAUGAUUAUUGUAAUUUGUGGUAUAUUACAUCAACAAUUUUAAGGAGAUUCAUGUUUUGUUACAGUUUCAAAAAUCUCGGAUAUCGAGAUGAGAGAUCUCAAAAGAUGGAUGGCAAGAGAUAACAAGUAAAGUAUCUUUCUACUUGCUCAACUCAAGGGGAUGAAAGGUAAAAAACUUUUCUGCUUGUUGCGGAGAAAAGAUUCAAAACUAAGGCUUAGCAAGAAAAUGGUCUGAAUCACAUCGAGGGGAAGGAAAGAAGCCUAUAAAAAAAAAUCUAAGUCAUAUAUGAGGAAAUCCAACCUAGGGACUAGAGAUCCUAUAACCAGGUUCAAUGGGAAAAAUGAAUCAUAUGAUGACUUGUUGUGAAUGCACUAUUAUUUUAUCCCUCCUUAUGAUGUGAGUGCAUUGUUCCUGUAAUGAUUUGUGAAGGCUGAGUCAAAGGACUCUUAAUGAAAUUUUGUAUCUCGUAUGAGUGGGGUGUCGAAAUUACAGGACCACCCUUGACGGAUUUCACCUAUGUGAGUGUGGAGGUAGGCCGCUUCCUAUGAGAAUGGGAUUUAUUCUCAAAAAUGCUGAUGAAAAAUUGGGAUAGCACAUGGCCUUAAGGUGUUGGAUAUUAAAGCUUAUGCCAAUACCUUGAAUAUUGUGUGUAGGCAGUGAUACUUUAUUUCCCCUAAGCAGUCAUAGUUCAAGGCUGAGACCGCUACUGACUCUGGAGUAAAGUUACUAUUUUACUAAUUGGGGGUUCAAUGUAGAGCACACCUUCAUUAUGCAUAAUAGUCUACCUUUAACUAAUUUGGUGAAA